CAGUUCGCAUUUCGAAUUUGACGGUCGUUUGCGUAGGACGGAGAGACACGCGCCGCCUAUGGUUCCGUUCCGUUCCGGUUGUGAUGGGUGAAUUCUAGAUGAUAGUGCCUUCGAGAAGUGCUGUAGUGCUGUAGUGCGAUAAAUGAGAGUGCAAUAAAGUUAAAUGGAAAUUAAGCGAUAAGCCACUGCAAAUAAUCAUAAAGUAAUGAAUGCAAAAGCAAUUUAUGCAAUUGCCGAGGGCCUGCAACAAGAUCGAAAGUGCUGCUGCUGCUUCUGCUUCUGCUGUUGAGUUUCGUCUCGUUUCGGUUCUUUCCGCCGCACAUCGAGGAGGAUACCGAAAUAGCUGCAGAAGAAAUUUGUGCCUGUCGCCGAGCGGGAAAGUGUAAAUGUGUCUGAAGCCAAAAUAAAAUUAAAUAGCGCAAAAAUGUUCGAGUAGAGAAGUUGCAGCAAAAUAAAAGUGAGAAAUUCGCAAGAGCAAAUGUGCAAGAAAUGUGCAAAUCGAAAUAAAAAAUUCAAGCGGAAGUCGUAAAUGAGCUGCAAGCAAAUAAUACAGCAACAAAAACUACAAUCUGUGUGGUGCAUACGAGUAUUAAUCAGAUUAUGAAUGAAAAUAUCAAGCAAUGUGAAGCUUGAGGCUGAAUAGGCUUUCUGUGGCAGAAGGAAAAAAUCUAAUAAUUGAAAAUAGUUCCAAGUUCCAAGUUCAAAGUCGAAAGUGGGAAAUGUGUUGCUAGUUAGUGCCUUCAAAAUAUUUAACAUGCAAAUCAGACAGCUACUCAUCCGGGGGUACCUGGCCCUGGUCCUGCUCCUGGUCCUGUUUGCCAUCGACUGCCAGGCCAAGCGUAAGGGCAAGCGAUUACACGGCCUGUCCCCAGCCCACAUGCUCAAGGAAUACGACCUGCCAGCUCUCAACGAUAGCUCCCAGGAGCUGUCGCAGAGCAUUGUCUCCUGGACAGGAGCGCGCAUCCAGCAGAAGAGCCACAAGAAGCAAUCGACGCAGUCGACGCAAUCAAUGCGGCGGCGGAAAACCAAGAGUGGCCUCCUCAUAGAAAGUAACAUUUCGGAGGAGGAGGCAACUUCAACGGUGACUUCAUCAUCCCCAUACUCGUCGGAGUCCCUCGCCAAGAAAAAAUCAUCGCAGCGUCGCCGCAACGGGCGAUUGCAGAGGCCAGGGGGAGCCGGCAGGCCGAAUGCCAAUGUCCUCCGUUUGCUCAACAGCCAGCAGGCCGAUGACGUAUCCGCUGGCGUCGGAUCAUUGUCCAGUUCGGGAGGCCUCUAUCCGCCUCUCUUCAAUGUGGCACCACGGGCCUCGAUCACAGUGAAUGCCACGUGUGGGCAGAACGGGGCCGAGGAGUACUGCAAGCUGGUCGACGCCUAUCCCCACCGGAACUGGGCCAAGCAGUGCGGCACCUGCAAUGGCCACUCCUCGGAUCGCGCCAAGCAGCGCCCCAUCGAGUCGCUAAUCUCGCCCGGCUCCGGCUUCGAGGAGAUCUGGUGGCAGUCCCCGACGCUUCAGGGUGGCCGACACUUCGAGUAUGUGACCAUCACAUUGGAUCUCAAGCAGACCUAUCAAGUCUUCUUUGUGAUGCUCAAGUCGGCGAAUUCGCCCCGACCAGCCUCGUGGAUACUCGAAAAGUCCCUGGAUGGAAUCGACUAUGAGCCCUGGCAGUACUUUGGCCUGAGUGAUGCGGACUGCAGGCGUCGCUGGAGUCUAUCCGGACAGAACGGCAAAUACGUUUUCCAGAACGACACCGAGGUCAUAUGUUCUACGCAGUUCUCGAAGCCUCUGCCCCUGGAGAACGGAGAGCUGCAUGUGUCCCUCCUGAAGAAUCGUCCGGGGGCCAUGGACCAGAGCCCAGAGCUCAUGCAGUUCAUUACCGCUCGCUACAUGAGGAUUCGUCUGCAGGGAAUGCACUCCACCGCGAAUCUGGACAACAGCGUGGACUGGCUGCUCGACUCGCCGUCGCUGGAAAAGCGCAGCUUCUACUCCCUCAAGCAGCUACGGGUGAGUGCUCGACUGGACUGCCACGGACACUCGGAUCGAACGCAGGAGGCGCCGGGUAGCCCGGUGGUGCAGUGCGUCUGCCAACACAAUGCCUGUGGAGUCCAGUGCGAGGAAUGCUGCCCCCUUUUCCAGGAUCGACCCUACCGACUGAGCGAAGAGUGCGAGAUCUGCCAGUGCCACGGCCACGCGGAAAGCUGCUCAUACGACCCCUUCCUGGACAAGGGCAUCUGCCAGGGCUGCGCGAACCACACGGCCGGUAAUGAGUGUGAGUUCUGCGAGAGCGGAUACUACAGGGAACUGGGCUCUGGCCUCACGGAACCAUGUGUGGCGUGCAGCUGCGAUCCCAUCCGUUCCACCGGCAGCUGUCAUCCCGAGGGCGGCCGCUGCAAUUGCCUGGAGGGCUUCCAGGGCAACCAGUGCCAGGAGUGCGCUCCCGGCUACUACGGAGAGGAGUGCAAGCCGUGCGAGUGUGAUGAGAGGGGAACCCUCUCCUCCGACGGCUCCUGCUCCGGCAAAUGUCAGUGCAAGCUCAAUGUGGAGGGGGAGACCUGCUCCGAGUGCGCUCCCGGGUACUUUGAUUUGAGCGAUCGGAACCCACUCGGCUGCUCCAGCUGCUGGUGCUCCGGUGUCUCCGAUACCUGUCACAGUGCCAAGCUGCAGACACUGGCCUUCGAGACCCUCAACGAUUGGAAGCUCACGGACAUACAGAGGAAGCAGUGGUUUCCAAUAUCGGUCGAUGCGGAGAAGGGCCUAACCUUUGGCAAUGAACCGGACGAACUGGAGGCCAUCUACUGGCAGGCACCCUUGGGAUACUUGGGCAAUCGAUUGACCAGCUACGGGGCCAGACUCCAGCUACUGCUCUCGUGGGUUGUGAUGCGGGGCGACACCUCGGGAAAGUCCUCGACGGGUCCCAAUGUGAUCUUGUGCGGCAAAAACGGACUGAAGAUUGGCUAUGCCGAUGACUCCUUCGUGGGCCUGGAGGCCAGCCUGAAUGUGACCCUAACGGAGGAGGGCUGGUACCAUGUGCCGCCCGCCAUCAAAGACAUCAAGACCAGAUUAAGGCGAACCGAGGGAGGGGAAUAUCAUGGGGAGGCGGUGACCCGGUCCCAGUUCCUCUCGGUUCUCGUUUCCCUUGACGCCAUGCUCAUCCGCGCCGCCUUCCACACCGACCAGGUGGAGACCUCGCUUGUGCGGGCUGUCAUCUACUCCGGCGGCGUGGAGCUCGGUGCCCAGGCUUCUACGCAGGUAGAGCAGUGCCUGUGUCCUGCCGGCUACACGGGACUCUCCUGCGAGGGCUGUGCCUUCGGCUAUAAACGUAUCUACGAGAACUCCACGGAGCACCAGCUGAUGAGCAAGUGCAUCCCCUGUCCCUGCAACGGCCACUCGAACUCCUGCGACCUGCAGAGCGGAAACUGCGGCGAUUGCAUGCACAACACAUUUGGCGAACGCUGUGAGCGUUGCCAGCUUGGAUUUUACGGGAACCCCCUCCAGGGAACGCCUCACGACUGCAAACGUUGUGCUUGUCCGUUGCCCGAGGACUCGAACAACUUCUCGCCCAGCUGCCAGCUGAAGAGCUACAACUACAUGGAUCUGAAUCCGCAGUUCGAGCUGAUCGAGCACGCCGAAUACAUUUGCACGCAGUGCCCAGAAGGGUUCACCGGCGACCACUGCCAGGUGUGCGACGACGGGUACUUUGGGGAUCCCCUUCAGAUAGGCAGCAGCUGCCAGCGCUGCGACUGCGCCGGCGGACCGUGCAACGUGACCACCGGCGCCUGCAUUACCUGCAAGGGCAACACUGAGGGCUGGCACUGUGAGCGCUGCAAGUUGGGCUACUGGGGAGAUCCUGCCGUCGGAUGCGAGCCCUGCCUCUGCCAUGCCGAAGGAUCGGAGAGUGGUCUGUGCGAUAGCACGGAUGGCCAGUGCCUGUGCAAGCCCCGAUUCGCCGGACAGAAGUGCGACGAUUGCGAUACGGGCUUUGCCCAUGUGGACCUCCGCUGUCCGCCCUGCAGCUGCGAUCCCCUGGGCACUGCUGUCCCUGACACGUGCGACCCACGGACGGGUCAAUGCCAGUGCAAGGUGGGCGUCAUUGGGGUCAAGUGCCACGAGUGCCAGGAUGGAUUCUUUGGCAUGAACGUAGAUGCCCAGCAGCUGGAGGAUCUGGCUGCCCUGCGACUGGCGCAGGACGAUGCCGACUGGGAGCUGGUCGCAGAGACCGACGAUCCAGCAGACGACUCCACGGUGGCCUGCGAGGAAUGCCACUGCAGCAGCGUGGGCUCCUUGUCAACGGCCUGUGAUAAGCGAUCGGGACAGUGCGCCUGUCUGGCCAACGUGACGGGCAGACGCUGCGACAAGUGCCGGGCGGGCCACUGGAACCUCACGCAAGGCGUGGGCUGUCACGACUGCCUCUGCGACCCUCACGGAUCUCGGGGUGACGAGUGCAAUCCGUGGACGGGUCAGUGCGACUGCAAGAUCGGAGUGGGUGGCCAGCACUGCAAUGAAUGCACCGAGGGCUUCUUCGGAUUCAGCACCGAGGGCUGCCAGCGCUGCUCGGCUUGCACGGCGGAGGGUCAGGUAUGCGACUCUCACAACGGACGCUGCAUUUGCCCCAAGUUCACCCGCGGAUUGGGUUGUGGGCAGUGCGUGCCCGGCACCUGGGGCUGGCAGGCGCGUCUGGGCUGUCGGGAGUGCGAGUGCGAUCACAUUGGCUCCAUUGGCCAGCAGUGCGCUCCGGGAGACGGACAGUGCCAGUGCCGAGAGGGCUAUGCGGGCAGGAGCUGUGAAUCCUGUGCCGCGGGCUACUUUGGCUAUCCGGAGUGCAGGCGCUGCGGCUGCAAUGCGGACGGCUCUUUCACCCGCUCGGAUGGCUUGAUUGCCUGCGACUCGAAUGGCCAGUGUCCGUGCAAGAGUCUCGUGGUGGGUCUCAAGUGCGACACCUGCAUGCAAAGCACUUUCGGGUUGUCCGCCCUCAAUCCGGAGGGGUGCACCCGGUGCUUCUGCUUCGGUCGUUCCGGUGAGUGCCAGCAGAGCGACCUAUCCUGGGGCCACAUACGCAUGCCCGAGUCCCGGAACCUCAGUGUCCAGCAGAUACGUCCCCAGCACGUGCCGAGCGGAGAGUACGAGUACAUUGUGGUCGUCCAGAUGGAGGGUACCGUUUUCCAUCGCGAAGAUGCGGAGAUACAGCGCAUGAACGACCUUAGCCUGGUGCCGCGAUCGACGGGCAAUGUCUCCAUUGGUGCCUAUGGACAGUUCUAUCAUCCGCUGUACUUCCAGCUGCCGCCUCAGUUCUAUGGGGAUCGCACUAGCAGCUACGGUGGCUAUCUGUACUUCUCCCUCAUCACCGAGGGAGCCCACACUCCGCUGGAGAGACAGAUCCUAGCUCAGUACCCGCUGGUGCAGCUGCACGCCCAUUCCAAGCUCCUGUUGGACUUCUACGAGUACGAGGAGUUCGAGUACUCCCUGAAUGUGACGCAUCGCGUGCCGCUCCACGAAUCCCUUUGGAAGUAUCACCACAAUAAUCAGGCCGUGGAUCGGGGAACUCUCAUGGCUGCACUUCAAAACAUUCGCCACAUUUUCAUCCGAGCGUUUGCCUUUGCAGAUUUUCAGGAAGUUGUCCUUCAGAAUGUCCACAUGGAUGCGGCCAUCUUUGUGGAGGGCUCUACCAACUUGAUUGCCAAGGGUGUGGAGCGCUGUAAGUGUCCCAAGCGCUUUGAUGGUCUCUCCUGCCAGGACCCUGGACGAUCAUUCUAUCGCUGGCGCAACACCAGCGAUGUGGAUAGUGUCUUCAUUGAGGACCUGAUUGGACGGGCAGCUCCCUGCCAUUGCAAUGGACGCAGCAGCGAUUGUGACAAGGAGUCGGGUGUCUGUCAGAACUGUCGCGCGAACAGUGGAGGAGAUCAUUGCCAGCAAUGCGCCGAGGGCUUCUACGGCGACCCGAACUCCCCGCACGGCUGCCAGGCCUGUCCGUGCCCCGAAACCAAUCGCAACUUUGCUCGCGGUUGCAAUGUCUGGGAUGGCGAAGUGAGUUGUGUGUGCAAGCCCGGUUACACGGGGAGGCUGUGCGAGCGCUGCCAUCCCGGCUACUUCGGCAAUCCCACGCUGUAUCCCAACAGCAGCUGCCAGGCCUGCAACUGCAAUCCGGACGGAAUCCGAGCCGAGGGCUGCGACUCGGAGACUGGUCAGUGCUAUUGUCGGGAGGGUGUCACAGGCCUCAAGUGCAGCAAGUGUCUGGCGGAACGACAUCAUGUGGUGGACAAUGGAUGCAGAGUUUGCGACAAUUGUACUCUAUUACUCCUGGACUAUGUGGAGUUGGUGGGCCAUAAGCUGCGUCGCGGGCUCCACAACAUGGACCUGACCGGAAUACCUGCGCCGUACCUCAAGUUGUCCGAUUACGAACGAGCCUACGACACCUGGCGAGGGCGGCAGCAGGACUUCAGCCAGGCCAGGAAACUGCUGCAGGACUAUGAUACCGCUGGCGUCGUCAAGCUGGAUGCCCAUGCUGAAAAUAUGAAAUUCCAGUCGCGCAAGGCGCUGUCCACGAUCGGAAAGAGGGAGUUCGCUCUCAAGGCCAUGCAGGAUGACGCUUCGGUGCAGCAACAGGAUGUGGGCCUGGUACGGGCAGAGAUACUUCAGACACUGCUCGAUUUGAGGAGCUACGGGAAGAGUGCCCAGCACCUCAGUCUGCCGACAGCCCUAAAGCAGGCCCGAUUCUAUCUGCAGGCUAUCCAGGAGCACCAUCAGGGAAUUCAGGGCAUCCGCAGCACGAACGAUUGUGCCUGGCGUCAUUUCUACGUCUCGGGCAACGCCUCGGAUGCCGCUUUCGACGAGCGGGGUCGGCUGGAGAUGCUCUGGCGAGAUCUGAACCAGACCAACCAUCGUGUGGUGGACUUGCGACUACAGCUAGAUCGCACCCUGGAGGUGGAGAGCGAGGCGGAGGACAUAGUGGAGCAUGUGCGCAACCUGAAUGGCCAUACGGCCGAGGCGCAUCACGAGCUGAAUGACCUGGGCCAGCUGAUUGGAAAGUAUCUCAACCAGAGCUAUCUCGACCAGGGAGAAGAGCUGGCAAAACUCACUCUCGAGCGGCAGUCUCUGCUGAGCGAACAUCUGAACCAGCUGGACGGUGCGACUGUUCUCCUGAAUGCCACCCUCGGCGUCAAGUCCGAGCAGCAGCGGGAGGUGCGCAAGCACUGGCUGCCAAAGGCGGAGAAACAUGCAGAUCGUUUGCUGGAGAGGUCGAAUGAGUAUGCUCGGCAGUUCCAGCCCACGAGGAAUGGUGCACGCAUUGCCAUGCUGGCCAGCUCGGCGCAUAGCAACAUAACCAAGGCGAUCAAUGAUGCUCGUCAAGGCUCUAUCCUUGCCAAGGAACGGGUAUACGAUGCCCAGAGAACGCUGUAUCCCAGCGAUGGCAGCUCCAUGAUCGAGCGAGCCAAGCACUCGUUGCACCGCUCCAGGCAGCUGCAGCAGGAGGCACUUAAGCAGAUGCACAAGUCCAACGUGCUCAAAGAGAAGCUGCAUCAGCAGCAGGAGCAGGUGGAGGGCAUCAAGGCCACCAUCUUCGAGUCAGGGCUGCGCACCAACAACAUUUCUAGCCAGUUGCAGACCCUCACCGACAGUUCGGCCCGUCGUCAUGCCAAGGAGAGCCUGGAUCUGGCCAGGAGAACCGGCGAGCAGAUGCGGGCCGAACUUCGAAAGGCUAAGGAGACGGAGGAAUCUCUUCAGAAUAUGCGCAAAUCCUUCACCAAGCUCGAGCCCGACUGGGACAUCAAGCUCGGCAUGGCUCAGGAGAACAUAUCGCUGACCAAGACCAAUCUCCGACUGGCCAACGUGUCGCUCAGCUAUCUAGAGCAGCAGGCGGCAAAGGAGCAGCAAGUGUUCGAGUCCUGGAACAAUAGCAUGGCCAAGCAGUUGCAGCAGCUCAGGGACCAGAUAGCCAAGGCGAGACAUGCAGCCCAAGCGAUCGAUGUCUCCCUGGAGUCACUGGGUCCUAAGUGCAUCCGCUCUUAUCUGCCCUCAUCGUAUGGCCUGAGUACCUCGAACAAUUUGCGCCUUAGCUUCGCGUUGGCGAACCACAUCGAGAGCUCGCCCCUGAUCCAAGUGGAGGGUAGUGAGGGACGCCACAUCACCCUGGAGUUGUACAAGCGACGGGUGCGCCUUGUUUGGAAUCUGGGGGGGACCACGGCGACUGUCACCCAUCCCAUGGUGGUGCAGACGCGGGAUCCCAAGUACGACGAUGCCUGGUACCAUGUGGAGGCCAAUCGGACGCUCAAUCUGGGCAGCUUGUUGGUGCGACGGAUGAAUAACUAUGGGGUGCUGACACCCAGCAGUCCGGUCACCAUCACUGGCUCUACAGACACGGAGCACACGCGCUUCUAUCAGUCGCGAAACGAUCGCAUAUCCCUUGGUGCCCUCGCCUCGAAGGAUCUGCAGCUGACGCCUGGCCUCAAUGUGGUCGUGCACCAUGUAGAGGUGGACAACAAGCCGCUGGGACUGUGGAACUUUGUGGACAGCGAGGGGCGGUGCGGUGGUUCCAUGAUCGGUGCCCGCGAAUCCUCCGCCUCAUCGACGGCACGUCACUUUAACGGUCUGGGCUAUGCGCAGCUAAUGAAGACCCGUCCCCGGCCAUAUCGCAAGAAUCUGUUCUCUGUGCAGAUGACCUUCCGUACUCUGGACGAGAAUGCGUUGCUCUUCCUGGCGGUUGAUGACAAGAAUAAUCGCUCGGUGUCGGUAACAUUGAGCCGUGGACGCAUCAUGUUCCGCAUUGACUACGGCGACGAGUCCAAGCUGGAGAUCAACACCACCAAGAAGUACAAUGUGGGUCAGUGGAUUAAAAUUGAGGCCGCCCGCGAGUUCUCGGCCAAACGAAGCACAGAGAACGGCAUGCUCCGCGUGAACAACGAUCGUCCCAUCUCCGGAGCACCUACACUGCCCGUGAACGCACAUUUGCUACCAGAUUUGUCGAAGGCUGUCUAUUAUUUGGGUGGAGUGCCGCCAGGCUUCACAUCAGGCACGACGAAAGCUCCAGGCGCUGAUAAUCCCUUCCUUGGCUGUAUGACGGAUGUUCAGGUGAACGGAGAGACGUACGAUCCACUAGAGAGCUCCAGCUACUUCGGCGUAGAGCCUUCCUGCAAGGACAUGAUCACAAAGGCUGGGUUCUCGGGGAACGGGUAUCUAGAGCUACCUUCGCAGUCGCUGAGGAAGCGCUCGAAUACUGCCCUGGUCUUCCGCACCCUACAACCGGACUGUCUCUUGCUCCUCUCCGCCUAUCCGCCCGAGGUUCUGGCCGACUACGAUGACAAGGACAUCAAGGGCAACUACUCAAUGAGCCUGGUGGAUGGGCAGUUGCACGUCUGGGUCAACUCUGGCCGCAGCUUUGUCAAGCUGUCUUCCAAUAUCAGUCAGCUGAAUGAUGGUGAACUGCACGUGAUCAACAUGAUAAAGACUGGUCGCCGGCUGGAGCUAAUGGUGGACGAUGAGCUGCAGGAUGUGCGCAGCCUGAGCGGCAACCCAACGGUCAUUAGUCUGCCCCGGGAGGCGGGAGGUCUCUACAUUGGCGGAGCUCCCCCGCACGAGAGCUUUACGCCGCUGGCGCCCACCUUCGUCAACCUAGAAGGAGCCAUUCGGGAUGUUGUGUUCAACAACCGGACCGUGAACUUCAACGAUGCUCUGACCUUUUCCAAUGUCCAGAUCGGACGCAAUGGUCCCCUGAUGGGCAGUCUCAAGGGUGGACUCUACGACGUGUUUCUCAAGACGGAACCGAUGAUCGGGAAGAGUUUCACGGCCACGCCGGAGGGCUGCAAGCGGGAUUUUAGUUGCUAAGCAAUUAUGUCAAAGCUGCUACGCUAAAAGCUUCAAGCGCUGCGCCUUAAGAAAGCUCAUUUGUAUACUAAUUUCGCCUAAACAUUAAACACAAACACACAAAACAAAACAAAAAGCUAACCAAACAAAGCUGCUCUAUGUGGUCUACAUGUGGAUUAAUAUAACCUUUAUAUAAACAUCAUCAAAGAUACAUAUAACAUGAGCUCAGUCAUAGCUGGAAAGUUGUCCUACGUAAUCAUGAUCAUGAAAGUAAAAGCGCAACGAAAAGAUAGACGGGCCAUCAUGUUUGUUCAUGUGUGUUCAUGUUUAUGGAGGACAACUUGGCUAGCGUUAAGUCCGGAAGAGGAUUGGUUCAAGCUCCUGGGCGCAUCGGGUCCUCGGCUAACACAAAAAAGCGCUAUAAUCAUAGUUAAUAAUCAUCUUUUUUACGACAUAUAUUUUUUGUAAAUAUUUCAUAUGACUUUUUUGCUACACGAUAAGUACGGCUCCGAGCUCAGUCUAGUCCUUAAGAUUCACACCACUCAUAUCAACGCUUUGUGUACGUUUUUGCUUUCAUAAAUGUAUCAUACGAUUAACACUUGCUUACCUACUUCGCGACCACAACACGGACAUUUGAUUGUUAUCACAUCAUUUUUAAAUCACGUUUCAAAUAAAACAUUUUUAUAACAAAAAAAAACCGAACAAAAAUCAUGGCAAAGUUUUUAUUCUUAACCCAAUCCAAUCCAAUCUCUCGGAGUGUUCUCUCUGGGAGAUCGCUACGCUUAGAGCUCAGAAACUAACACAAAGUCGUCGGGAUCGGCAGCUACUCCUACGAGCCGAAUGCGUUCAAGUUCGGAGACGAGAUUUACAGCUAUUCGCAGCUGAAGCUGCCAGAGCGCCGCUUC
RNAcentral lists this unclassified non-coding RNA (10698 nucleotides) under Drosophila pseudoobscura pseudoobscura. Its description in RNAcentral is "GA13629". Lineage: Eukaryota; Metazoa; Arthropoda; Insecta; Diptera; Drosophilidae. The record is from RNAcentral.